Molecule: unclassified non-coding RNA, 593 nt
Filed under: uncultured fungus
Lineage: Eukaryota; Fungi
Description: sequence contains ITS1, 5.8S rRNA gene, ITS2 and 28S rRNA gene
Source: RNAcentral
ACGUUAAAAAGCUGUCCUCGCUAAGGAGAGACAUCUGUGAGCUCCAGCGAACCUUUGUCACCAAAGGUUACCUGGUGGGCAACCGCGAGCGUAGAUAGUUAUCACACUCGUGAUGCCACCAAACACUGGGAGGCUGAUUCAUUUGAGAGGAGCCGACCACAGGCCAGCAAAACCCCCAAGGUCCAAGCUCGUCACGGCAAACCAUGAGAGUUGAGGUGUUCAUGAUACUCAAACAGGCAUGCCCCUCGGAAUAUCCAAGGGGCGCAAGGUGCGUUCAAAGAUUCGAUGAUUCACUGAAUUCUGCAAUUCACAUUACUUAUCGCAUUUCGCUGCGUUCUUCAUCGAUGCGAGAGCCAAGAGAUCCGUUGCUGAAAGUUGUAUUGUGUUGCGUUAGACGCGGCAUACAUUCCAUAAGACUUUAUUACAGUGUGUGUGUGUUGAAAGACAUAGAACUACGGAAGGAAGACAGGGUCCCCCAGACCGUAAAACUACAGAGGGUGCACAGGUGUGAGUGGAUGUGUAAACAGAGCGUGCACAUGUCCCCAUUCGAGGACCAGCAACAGCCCGUUUGACAAUUCAGUAAUGAUCCUUCC